Molecule: ribosomal RNA, 755 nt
Filed under: uncultured Pseudomonas sp.
Lineage: Bacteria; Pseudomonadati; Pseudomonadota; Gammaproteobacteria; Pseudomonadales; Pseudomonadaceae
Description: bacterial SSU rRNA
Rfam family: Bacterial small subunit ribosomal RNA
Source: RNAcentral
AUUGAACGCUGGCGGCAGGCUUAACACAUGCAAGUCGAGCGGUAACAUUUCUAGCUUGCUAGAAGAUGACGAGCGGCGGACGGGUGAGUAAUACUUAGGAAUCUACCUAGUAGUGGGGGAUAGCUCGGGGAAACUCGAAUUAAUACCGCAUACGACCUACGGGAGAAAGGGGGCAACUUGUUGCUCUCGCUAUUAGAUGAGCCUAGGUCGGAUUAGCUAGUUGGUGAGGUAAUGGCUCACCAAGGCGACGAUCCGUAACUGGUCUGAGAGGAUGAUCAGUCACACUGGAACUGAGACACGGUCCAGACUCCUACGGGAGGCAGCAGUGGGGAAUAUUGGACAAUGGGCGAAAGCCUGAUCCAGCCAUGCCGCGUGUGUGAAGAAGGUCUUCGGAUUGUAAAGCACUUUAAGUUGGGAGGAAGGGUUGUAGAUUAAUACUCUGCAAUUUUGACGUUACCGACAGAAUAAGCACCGGCUAACUCUGUGCCAGCAGCCGCGGUAAUACAGAGGGUGCAAGCGUUAAUCGGAAUUACUGGGCGUAAAGCGCGCGUAGGUGGUUUGUUAAGUUGGAUGUGAAAUCCCCGGGCUCAACCUGGGAACUGCAUUCAAAACUGACUGACUAGAGUAUGGUAGAGGGUGGUGGAAUUUCCUGUGUAGCGGUGAAAUGCGUAGAUAUAGGAAGGAACACCAGUGGCGAAGGCGACCACCUGGACUAAUACUGACACUGAGGUGCGAAAGCGUGGGGAGCAAACAGG